UUAGUAGUGUAGGGGUAAAAUCCGUAGAGAUUACUAGGAAUACCAAAAGCGAAGGCGAUCUUCUGGAACAGUACUGACGCUGAGGCGCGAAAGCGUGGGGAGCAAACAGGAUUAGAUACCCUGGUAGUCCACGCCCUAAACGAUGAAUGUUAGUCGUCGGGACUCUAGUAGUUUCGGUGAUGCAGUUAACACAUUAAACAUUCCGCCUGGGGAGUACGGUCGCAAGAUUAAAACUCAAAGGAAUAGACGGGGACCCGCACAAGUGGUGGAGCAUGUGGUUUAAUUCGAAGAUACGCGAAGAACCUUACCUAGCCUUGACAUAUUUUAGAACUCCGCAGAGAUGUAGAGGUGCCUUCGGGAGCUAAUAUACAGGUGCUGCACGGCUGUCGUCAGCUCGUGUCGUGAGAUGUUGGGUUAAGUCCCGCAACGAGCGCAACCCUCGUUCUUAGUUACUAACGGUUCGGCCGAGGACUCUAAGAAGACUGCCUUCGUAAGGAGGAGGAAGGUGAGGACGACGUCAAGUCAUCAUGGCCCUUACGGCUAGGGCAACACACGUGCUACAAUGGUUAGGACAAUGAGACGCAAUACCGCGAGGUGGAGCAAAUCUAUAAACCUAAUCUCAGUUCGGAUUGUAGUCUGCAACUCGACUACAUGAAGCUGGAAUCACUAGUAAUCGUAGAUCAGCUAUGCUGGCGGUGAAUACGUUCCCGGGUC
RNAcentral lists this ribosomal RNA (714 nucleotides) under uncultured Sulfurovum sp. RNAcentral describes it as "bacterial SSU rRNA". It matches the Rfam family "Bacterial small subunit ribosomal RNA", at positions 667 to 1380 of the family's 1533-position model. The record is from RNAcentral. Lineage: Bacteria; Pseudomonadati; Campylobacterota; Epsilonproteobacteria; Campylobacterales; Sulfurovaceae.